GCUUUCAACUGGAACAUAAUUCUCUUGAUUAUUGGUUGGUGCUGCGACACAGUAGGGAUACAGAUAAUUGUCACUGUGCACAUGCUGCUGGAAAUGUAAAAUUAUUAUCUUUAGAGAGGUUGAGUAGGGUGUUUGAGCACGAAUGUUACGCAGCUCGGGCACGUGGAAUGUGUAGAGCACUCAUCUGUUGGCUGCCUCCCUUCCUCUGCUGGCCCGGCUCGCUGGUUCUGGGCGACACCCAGCUCCGGGAGCAUCCUGCCGGUCACUCAGUGGCGAGGAAAGGACAGCAGGGUCCUGAAGUAAGGAAAAACCCAUUCCAGAAGUGGAAGCCCAGGGGUCUGGAAAGCUGUGUUGCUCACUGCUACCACGGUGAGAGAAGCAACCUAGAAAUGGGAAACAAGAUAGAAAAACAGAAACCAAAAUCCUGAAAUCUCCACUGACAUGGACACUGAGAUCUUGUCCUCUGGAUGACAUAGCCAUCACCCUCAGGCUAACCUGCCAUCUGUGAUGAGAAGACUCCCUGAUGAAGGUGCGUCUUUCUCUCACCCCUGGUUUGAGUGUGAAUAUGAUUGCCACCAUCUUGGAUCCGAUGGAAGACACAGCACCUUGAGGAAAGUUGAACAAGAGAGAUUGCUGCUACUGUGGAUCUUCAAUGCCAGCUCCUUACUUCUUAUAUUUGGACAGGGACGUGAUUAAAU
Long non-coding RNA from Heterocephalus glaber (naked mole-rat), 698 nucleotides. Lineage: Eukaryota; Metazoa; Chordata; Mammalia; Rodentia; Bathyergidae. The record is from Ensembl.